RNAcentral lists this long non-coding RNA (2972 nucleotides) under Mytilus galloprovincialis (Mediterranean mussel). Lineage: Eukaryota; Metazoa; Mollusca; Bivalvia; Mytilida; Mytilidae. The record is from RNAcentral.
AGCAUGUACUUUUUAAAUUUUAUAUACUAUGUUACAUUGCAUACUAAAUUAUGUUAUUUUCGAAAUGACUUCGUACCUGCUAACAGUAUUUGCUUUUCAUGUUUUUAUAUCAUGAACAUCUGUAUACAAAUUAGGACAUGGAAAUGCAUAAUUCACAACAUAGUGUAUAUCUUAAGGCAAACGAAUGAAACUAAUUGAGCUUACUGUUAUAAAUGUUCAUGUUUCAAUAUGUUUGAUAUAUAACAAAUACAUAAAAUGAAUAUAAUUAUAUCAUCACUGUAAUGUAUGUAUCGUAAUUUCAUUAUUUUCAUUCCAAAAAAAAACAAACGUAUACAAUUUUUGUUAUGUGUACUCUAUGCACUUUGAAUGUAAUUGGUAUAUCUAUCAUGAAGCGCAUUGUAAACUUGAUCUUACGCUGACCUAUAGUUGUUAAUGUCUGUGUCAUUUUGGUCGUUUGUGGACAGUUGUCUUAUUGGCCAUUAUACCACAUCUUCUUUUUUAUAUUGAUCUUAGUUCGUCAACGGUCAGGUUGCAUGUUUUGCUUAUAUUUUACGAUUCGUUCAGUCUUCAAAACUACCUGUUUUACAUUUAAUGUUAUUGUUGUGGUACAUAUUCACACAUUUUACGCAUAAAACGGCAUGUUAGUUACAUUUUAACUAGUUUUAUCAGAUAUUUGUUCAAUGAUUACCUACAGAUAAACAGCAGCUUUACAAACAUACAGAGGGUGUUCGUGAUUGUACUUUUUGGAUUAAAAAAUCAUUAUUGAAUUGAACUAUUAAUUUGUUCAUAAAUUUUGAGGCAUGUUUUAUUGUAAUCUUAUUUUAACUUCUUUCGGUAUUUAUUGUAACACUCUUAAUUUUGUUUUUUGGGGUAUCGCUGAUAACGAGAGAAAUGAUCUGAUAGGAAUACACUAAAUUGGUGAUGACUGAAGGAAUAGUCGACAUUGUAGAGUAAAGUAGCUUUAUGGAACAGAUUUUUGUUUAAAGAACAGGUUUGUAUGUACUAUAUACCUUUACAGUGUUUUAAUCAAACAGGAAAUGAUAAGAUAUAUAGCACCGUGCUCAAUUAGAAAACGUUUAUUAGGAAAGAUACCAAAAUCAAAGUACAAAUUAGACGGAACAGUCCCUUAACACAUGGCAAAGCAAAAAUAUUUAAAACAUCAUAUGAUUGUUUAACAACCUGCAUAUCCCUGGCUUGGUACAAGCCUUACCUUAUGUAGAACUAAAUAGAAUAAACCUGCAUUUAUCAUGUUUAUAGUUAGAUGAACUUGUAUGACAGUCGCGUACGGAAUUCAACUAUGCAGAACUGCAUGUGUAAUCCAUUUUAGAGUAGAAAAUAUCUAAAACAAUUAUUAACAAUCAUGUAAUUUUUAGAGAUAUAGAAUGAUAAAAAUGAAGUCAAGACUUUUGCAGAUUUCGGUAAAUUUACUAAACUAUUAACGUUGUAAUUUGUUUAAUACUAGCAGGUUCAAUAGGUGCAGCAAAACCCAAAUACAAAACAAAAGUCAUUGUCCGAAAAAACAUCGAUCUUAAUCAGUAUCACACCCCCCCCCCCCCAAAUGUAUGUUCUUAAAGCUAAGUUAAUCAAUGGUGGAAUGAAAAAAGUAAAAUACAAGCAAUCCUUGAAAUUUACCUGUAAACAUGUUUUUUUUUUAUGAAAUUAACGUUUCUCGGUCGGUUGUAAGGUAUGGUUUUCACCAUUCAAAUUCUAAUUGUUUCAUUGUGAAUCAAUACAAAACUACAAUAACAAAGAUUUACCUGAUUUAUAAAUUCAAUAUAAAAAAAAUCUGCUUUGACAUUUUUUACAAAUAAUAUAUUUAUUAUUCAAUUUGAUUGGAUGGUAUAUACCCGCUAUGCUGGUUUUAGGGGUAUAUGCGCUCAUAAUUUUCGGAAAAAUCAUGAUUAAAUAUUACUUAAGGGGUUAGUUUGAGAAAUUUGAAGUUCGCCUAUAGUUAAACGUAGCAGAAGUUUGUAAUUUUUUUUACCACCUCACCCACCCUUUUAUGAGAUGGUUAUCGUUAAUGUCGGUAUAUCUAUAGACUACAUUAUAUUAAUAUGAUGUGUUCCUUUUUUGUAGAUAGUUUUUUUCAUUGUUUUACUGUAUAUAAAUGUGCUAUUGUAUUAUUGAAUUGGUGUCUGUCUGAAUUUAUAGUGAAGGAAUUUAGUUUGAGAAUCAUAUUGAGUGUAAUUGAUAUUAAAGGCUGCUACACCUGUAGGCACACGUAUUCUAUUUAUUUUUUGUUUUAUUUAUUAAUUAAUUUAUAUUCGUUUGAGCUGGCGAAUCAGAAUAUAACUGUUAUAAUGAUAUCUGUUUUUGUCUUGUAUAAACGGUAAUAUAAUAAAUUCCGUUGUGCCGGUGUUAAUGUGUAAAAUUGUAACAAUUAAAACGAAAAUAACUUAAAUACUCGGAUACUCAUUUUUUGUUUGCAUGUUUACAAAUAUUUGUUUCAGCUAAAUAUAAAUCAAGUACUCAUGCAGAAUUGCAAUAUGUAUGAUUUGUCAUUUACCAAAAUAAAAACUUCCAUGCGCUAAACGCGGAAACGUGAAUUAUUUUUUUGUUGUUGCAAGUUGUAACUAUAUGUUAGCACGAGCUUGUUCAAAUAAUGUAAUUAAAUAAAUGUGAAUUGCUAACGUGAGUUUUCUUAUCUCAUUCGGAAACAAUGUUGAUGAUAUAUUAUUUAUGUGCAGACAUCACAUGUUAACCUGUGUUUUAUUUUAUUUAUAGGCUGAUAAUCAAUCACCAGAAAGCCAUACAGAAUUAAGAAGGCGUCGUUACUCCGUAUAACUAAUAUUGGAUAUUCUAUCUAACAACAUGAACUAUGUGUAGUAAACAAUUAAAUUAGAGUGAUUUGAGUAAAAAGAAAUCAACCGCAACUUAAACAGUAUUUUCUACUUUUAUUUUUGCAUUUCUUUAUUUUUGCGUUUUCCUGUUGUAAUGUUCUUUUUUUUCAUCUUUUCAUUGUUCGUGCGUGG